Molecule: transfer RNA, 73 nt
Filed under: Bos taurus (domestic cattle)
Lineage: Eukaryota; Metazoa; Chordata; Mammalia; Artiodactyla; Bovidae
Also listed under: 2 other names
Rfam family: tRNA
About the family: Transfer RNA (tRNA) molecules are approximately 80 nucleotides in length.
Source: Rfam by way of RNAcentral
UCCCUGGUGGUCCAGUGGUUUAGACUCCACACUUCCAAUGUAGGCAGCACAGGUUCAAUCCCUGGCCAGGGAA